Molecule: transfer RNA, 74 nt
Filed under: Planctomycetales bacterium
Lineage: Bacteria; Pseudomonadati; Planctomycetota; Planctomycetia; Planctomycetales
Description: tRNA-Val
Rfam family: tRNA
About the family: Transfer RNA (tRNA) molecules are approximately 80 nucleotides in length. Their secondary structure includes four short double-helical elements and three loops (D, anti-codon, and T loops).
Source: RNAcentral
GGGCGCUUAGCUCAGCUGGCUAGAGCACUAGCUCGACACGCUAGGGGUCACAGGUUCAAAUCCUGUAGCGCCCA